CCUACGGGUGGCAGCAGUGGGGAAUAUUGGACAAUGGGGGGAACCCUGAUCCAGCCAUGCCGCGUGUGUGAAGAAGGCCCUCGGGUUGUAAAGCACUUUCAGUGAGGAAGAACGCCUGGUGGUUAAUACCCAUCAGGAAAGACAUCACUCACAGAAGAAGCACCGGCUAACUCCGUGCCAGCAGCCGCGGUAAUACGGAGGGUGCGAGCGUUAAUCGGAAUUACUGGGCGUAAAGCGCGCGUAGGUGGCUUGAUAAGCCGGUUGUGAAAGCCCCGGGCUCAACCUGGGAACGGCAUCCGGAACUGUCAAGCUAGAGUGCAGGAGAGGAAGGUAGAAUUCCCGGUGUAGCGGUGAAAUGCGUAGAGAUCGGGAGGAAUACCAGUGGCGAAGGCGGCCUUCUGGACUGACACUGACACUGAGGUGCGAAAGCGUGGGUAGCAAACAGGAUUAGAUACCCGUGUAGUC
RNAcentral lists this ribosomal RNA (465 nucleotides) under Vreelandella stevensii. Its description in RNAcentral is "partial 16S ribosomal RNA". It matches the Rfam family "Bacterial small subunit ribosomal RNA", at positions 338 to 795 of the family's 1533-position model. Lineage: Bacteria; Pseudomonadati; Pseudomonadota; Gammaproteobacteria; Oceanospirillales; Halomonadaceae. The record is from RNAcentral.